GAGAGACCGAUAGUGAACCAGUACCGUGAGGGAAAGGUGAAAAGCACUUCGAACAGAAGAGUGAAAUAGUUCCUGAACCCAUACGCCUACAAGCUGUCGGAGCCGCUUCGUGCGGUGACGGCGUGCCUUUUGCAUAAUGAGCCUACGAGUUACUCAUCACCAGCGAGGUUAAGUACUUCAGGUACGUAAGCCGAAGCGAAAGCGAGUCUGAAUAGGGCGUCAAGUUGGUGGUGGUAGACGCGAAACCUUAGUGAUCUACCCAUGGGCAGGGUGAAGGUUUGGUAACACAAACUGGAGGCCCGAACCGGUAAACGUUGAAAAGUUUUCGGAUGACCUGUGGGUAGGGGUGAAAGGCCAAUCAAACUGGGAAAUAGCUCGUACUCUCCGAAAUGCAUUUAGGUGCAGCCUCUGUUGUUUUGUUCUAGAGGUAGAGCUACUGAUUGGAUGCGAGGGCUUCACCGCCUAUCAAAUCCGGCCAAACUCCGAAUGCUAGAACAUGAAGACAGGGAGUGAGCCAGCGGGUGCUAAGGUCCGUUGACGAAAGAGGGAGAACUCAGACCAUCAGCUAAGGUCCCCAAUUAUAUGCUAAGUUGGAAUAAAAACGGGGUGGGACUGCUUAGACAGCUAGGAUGUUGGCUUGGAAGCAGCCAUUCAUUUAAAGAGUGCGUAACAGCUCACUAGUCGAGCGGUCCUGCAUGGAUAAUACGCGGGCAUAAGCAUAUAACCGAAGCUAUGGGAUUGUAGAUGAUACAAUCGGUAGGAGAGCAUUCCAUUCAGCAUAGAAGCAGUACCGUGAGGUAUUGUGGAGCGGAUGGAAAAGCAAAUGUAGGCAUAAGUAACGAUAAUGCGGGUGAGAACCCCGCACGCCGAAAGAUCAAGGAUUCCCCGGCAAUGUCAAUCAUCCGGGGGUAAGUCGGAUCCUAAGGGUAAGCCGAGUGGCGAUCCCGAUGGUAAACAGGUUAAUAUUCCUGUACUGAUCAUAACUGCGAUGCAGCGACGCAGAGGUGACACUGCUGCGUACUGACGGAAUAGUACGUUGAAACCCGUAUUCUUUGAUACCGGUAGUGAAGCACGCCGGUAGAGAUGAAAGGUGAUAGUACCGCAAUGCUUCGGUUGCGCGGAUAACGCAGGUAAGCUGACUGCCAAGAAAACCUGCUAAGCUUCAGGUAAUGAUCAUCCGUACUGUAAACGGACACACGUGAUCAGGUAGAAAAUACUAAGGCGCUCGAGAGAUUCAUGGUUAAGGAACUAGGCAAAAUGGUCCUGUAACUUCGGGAUAAAGGACGCUCUUGUGAAAGAGCCGCAGAUAAUAGGCCCAGGCGACUGUUUACCAAAAACACAUGGCUAUGCUAAUUCGCAAGAAGAUGUAUAUGGCCUGACACCUGCCCGGUGCCGGAAGGUUAAGAGGAGAGCUCAGAGGUAACUCGAAGGUUUGAAUUGAAGCCCCGGUAAACGGCGGCCGUAACUAUAACGGUCCUAAGGUAGCGAAAUUCCUUGUCGGGU
This 1503-nucleotide ribosomal RNA is filed under the name human gut metagenome. RNAcentral's name for it is "bacterial LSU rRNA". It matches the Rfam family "Bacterial large subunit ribosomal RNA", at positions 478 to 1977 of the family's 2925-position model. The record is from RNAcentral.